Molecule: long non-coding RNA, 1381 nt
Organism: Balaenoptera acutorostrata (minke whale)
Lineage: Eukaryota; Metazoa; Chordata; Mammalia; Artiodactyla; Balaenopteridae
Exons: 2
Source: RefSeq, a predicted model, not a curated record
ACUUCCUUUUGCUCAGAUCCAUCGCAAAGGAGCUCAAACCGGGCCCAGAGGAGCAGGUCCCACGGCCUCGGCCUCUACCAGUGCCAUCCUGGGUGGCCUGGGGGGUGGGCAGGCCCUCUGGGACCAAUGGUGCUGACCCGCCUUGGCCCUGGGUCGCUGGCCCACCGCAGCAGAGGCGAGGAAGGGCAGUCGGGGAUGAGGGGGCCUCUGCUGAGCUGCAGGAGAUCUGCAGGAAACAGACACACCCAGUGGAAGCGGCUGAUGUUGGUUGAGUGCCCUCUGCAUGCAGUGGAGAGGUGUCUACAGUGAUGGACAAGAUGGAAGGAAAGGUGGAAAGAGACAGGAAACAACGAGCCUAAAGGUCACGUGUCUGGGGUCACCUUGACCCCUUUCUUCUCUUACCUCUCACUUCUGAUGUGCGCACCCAGCCAGCCCUGCCUCCCGGACUUGACUGCCUCUGGACGCUGCCACCACCCUGCCCACCACAUCUGGAGCCCGACCCCUGUGGAAACCCCUGCUGGCCCCCUCAGGCCCUUCUCAGCCAGGGGUCCUAUCACAUCUACGUCAGAUUAUGUCACGUCUCUGCUCACAACCCACCUGCGGCUGCUCAUUCCUGCCAGAAAACACAUCCAAGACCCCACGAUGGCCUCUAAGUCCCUACGUGGGUGGCCGCUAUGGCCCAUCUGUCCUGGUCUCCACUACUCACGCCCUUUCACCUGCUCCAACGCAACUACUCACGCCCUUUCACCUGCUCCAACGCAACUACUCACGCCCUUUCACCUGCUCCAACGCAACUACUCACGCCCUUUCACCUGCUCCAACGCAACUACUCACGCCCUUUCACCUGCUCCAACGCAACUACUCACGCCCUUUCACCUGCUCCAGCGCACUCACCACCUCCUUGCUUCUUGAACUGGCAAACGUGCUCCUGCCCCAGGGCCUUUGCACUGGCUCUUCCCCCUACCUGGGAUGCUCUUUCCUCAGACACUACCUGGCUCUUCCCCUCACCUUUUUCAAGGGAGGCCGUCCUUGACCACUUGAUUUAAAUCGCCCUCCUGACCCUCUGGAUUCCCUUUCCUGUUCUAACACUUAUCACCUGCAGGUCAUGUCAUUUUCUUCAUUAUUUUGCUUGUUGUCUGUCUCCCCAAGGACAGAAAGUUUCAUCUGUUUUCUUUACUGCUGGAUGCCCAGCACCUAAAAUAAGCCUGGUAUUCAAUCAAUAGUUAUUUGUGAAUGUAUCUGACAAGGAAUUAUUUUGCUUUUCCUCAAGGGUCAGCAAAUGGUUUCUGUAAUGGGCCAGAUAGUAAAUAUUUUCAGCUUUCUGUCACACUAUCUCUGUCGAAGCUAACCAACUCUGCCAUUAAAAAGCAAAGCAGCCAGA